CGGGGUGUAGCGCAGCUGGAUAGCGCACCUGCUUUGGGAGCAGGGGGUCGCAGGUUCAAAUCCUGUCACCCCGACCA
This 77-nucleotide transfer RNA is filed under the name Elusimicrobia bacterium ADurb.Bin231. RNAcentral describes it as "tRNA-Pro". It matches the Rfam family "tRNA". Rfam says of the family: Transfer RNA (tRNA) molecules are approximately 80 nucleotides in length. Their secondary structure includes four short double-helical elements and three loops (D, anti-codon, and T loops). Further hydrogen bonds mediate the characteristic L-shaped molecular structure. tRNAs have two regions of fundamental functional importance: the anti-codon, which is responsible for specific mRNA codon recognition, and the 3' end, to which the tRNAs corresponding amino acid is attached (by aminoacyl-tRNA synthetases). tRNAs cope with the degeneracy of the genetic code in two manners: having more than one tRNA (with a specific anti-codon) for a particular amino acid; and 'wobble' base-pairing, i.e. permitting non-standard base-pairing at the 3rd anti-codon position. Lineage: Bacteria; Pseudomonadati; Elusimicrobiota. The record is from RNAcentral.